AAAAGACUUAGUCCUAACCUUACUGUUGGGUCUUGCUAGAUAUAUACAUGCGAGUAUCCGCAUUCCAGUGUAGAUGCCCUGGUGCACCUUGCCCAAGCCGCCAGGAGCGGGUAUCAGGCUCACUCAUAAUGUAGCCCAAAACGCCUUGCAAUUGCCACACCCCCACGGGCAUUCAGCAGUAAUUAGUAUUAAGCAAUGAGUGUAAACUUGACUUAGUCAUAGCAAUUUAGGGUCGGUAAAUCCUGUGCCAGCCACCGCGGUCAUACAGGAGACCCAAAUCAACUUUACUAGACGGCGUAAAGAGUGGUCACAUGUUAUCCUAGUAACUAAGAUCAAAACGCAACUGAGCUGUAACAAGCCCAUGAUGCCCCUAAGGCCUCUGUAAGAAGAAAAUCUUAGACCAACGAUCAAUUGAAACCCACGAAAGCCAGGACCCAAACUGGGAUUAGAUACCCCACUAUGCCUGGCCCUAAAUCUUGAUGCUUUAUCUUACCUGAGCAUCCGCCCGAGAACUACGAGCACAAACGCUUGAAACUCUAAGGACUUGGCGGUGCCCCAAAUCCACCUAGAGGAGCCUGUUCUAUAAUCGAUAAUCCACGAUACACCUGACCAUCCCUUGCCCAAGCAGCCUAUAUACCGCCGUCGCCAGUUCACCCCCCCUGAAGGUUCAACAGUGAGCGCAAUAGUCUCUCCCGCUAAUACGACAGGUCAAGGUAUAGCCCAUGGGAUGGAAGUAAUGGGCUACAUUUUCUAAGCUAGAAAACCACGGCAUAGGGGCUUGAAAUCGCCCCUAGAAGGCGGAUUUAGCAGUAAAGUGGGAUCAUCGAGCCCUCUUUAAGCCGGCUCUGGGGCAUGUACAUACCGCCCGUCACCCUCCUCAAAAGCAAUCAACUCCCCAUAAAUUAAUAAGCCAUCAAGCUAAAGAUGAGGUAAGUCGUAACAAGGUAAGUGUACCGGAAGGUGCACUUAGACAACC
Molecule: non-coding RNA, 976 nt
Filed under: Pomatostomus ruficeps (chestnut-crowned babbler)
Lineage: Eukaryota; Metazoa; Chordata; Aves; Passeriformes; Timaliidae
Description: 12S ribosomal RNA
Rfam family: Bacterial small subunit ribosomal RNA
Source: RNAcentral